UGAUAUGGGAGAGAAAUGUGUCAAAAUGACACAUUUUUUUGGACUGAACAACUAGAUAGAUGGCAAUGGAAUUUAUUAAAACAGGAAAUGUAUAAGAAGGGGAGCUUUGCAGGAAGAAAAGAGCAAGGGCCCUACUCAAGCAUAUUGUUGGAUUUGAGACAAAUGAUUUGGGAAAUUGCUCUUGGAAGUCAACCUCUUCAAUUCAAAUUUUAAGUGUUCUAAUUUCCUCAGAGACCAAGGGAAAGGCCACAUUUUGAUUAGAUUAUAUUUAUUUAUAUGUGCUUAAACAAGCUGUGAAGGACUGUAGCAAGGGUGCAGAAUUACAGGCUUAGAAAACAGAGACAUUGAAUAGAAUGGGAACUGCUGAUGGGUUUACACACACUCAUAUGUGCACACAUAAACACACACUCCAAAUGCUCAAGAUACUGAUAGAUUAACAACCAAACACAGUCAAUUCAGAGUUUAUAUCAUGUCCUCUUCACAUUGCAACCAAAGUUCUAUUAUAUGAAAGUGAGGAGUAGAAAGGAUUCCUCUGUGGGUAAAAAGGUUGAAUUGUCAUGGGCAGCUCAUUCUGAGCUUUUACCAGGUCAUGCCUCUAGACAUUUUAUGAAUAUUAAUUGAUGUAUUACUGCAUCCACCCCUCCCACUGCCAGGCUUCCUGGAGUCCUGCCCUGCAGACCAGAGAGCGCCACGCAGAGAAGGCUCUGGCCACCCCGCCGGCCUGGUAACAGUUUAUGAACACUUGCCAGUCACAGCUUUGCUAAUGUUCUAUCGCUGUGCUAGACAAUAUGGUCAAAAGGGUUUUUUCUCUAUCAUCUAGUCUCUUUCUCUGUCUCUCUCUCUCUCUCUGUCUCUCCUCACCACUGCCUGCUCUCUCUUUCCCUCCCUCCUUCUCUCUCUCUCUCUCAUUAGAUCUUUCUUAAACCACAAAGAGUCUCUGAGAGAUACAACUGCAUAAGAUAAAGGCACAAUUAUAGAAUUUGUUCAAAACAGAUAAAGAGUAUCACAGCCAGACUCAGAUAUGCAUAAUGGAAUUUUAUAUGUUGUAAUAAUCCAAGCUAAAAAAAAGAAGAGUGUAGUACUAUUUCAAUUGAGUUCAGUGUCCUCGACUUACUGAGAUGUUUUUUUGCCAUGUAAAUUUGCAGCUUGUGCGAUGGGGAGACUCUCAAGGCUUUGUGACUGCUGUUGGCUUCUUGGAAUGUUCCAGAUCAAUACAGACAGAGUUAAUAGUACCAUACAAGUCUAUAAAACUCCACAAACUAGCCAUAUUUAGAAAUACAGCUAGUGUACUUGCAGCAAACAAUAUGUCCAUUUAGUACUUUCUAAUACUUACUGUCAUCCAAUUUCUAAUACUUAGGUACUUAACUGUUCCCCUUCCCCUAAAUGUACUACCUCUUGAACUCUUAAAAUCUCUCAGUAUCUAUUCACAUGCAAGCAUAUGAGAAAAAGGGUGGUUGUACUUCUCAGGAGUGGCCCCCAAAUUUCUACAUCAGAGUAGCAUAUGGAAAUGAAUUUAAUUGAACAAGGGUAAGGAGAAGGGGUUGAAGCUGGGUUUACAGAGCACUUUGCAUAAGAAUGAGAAAAUGCCAACAGACUUCAUCAAAUAAUUGGAAGAGGAGUGUGGAGAAUGUUGAAGAUUAUGGGUUAGCUUGGGAAGACUUUCCUAGCCAUGGUUAGGUAACACCACCCAUACUUCUACACUAUAAUUUUGUUUAGCCAUUAAUGAUAUCUCAUACAUACACUUUGAUUUUUUCCCCAAUUAGCCAUGUAGCUUUAAAAACCAUAACAUUUUGAAAUAGUUCAUCCUGACCAACAACUCAGGAUAUUCAACCAUAAUCUUUGUUUCCUAAACCAGAAGGGUAGAUAAAUAAGAACAAUAGAUUACGCUUUUGGAAAACCAGAUCCUGUUCCUGGCACUGUCACUAAUUAACUGGGAAAUUCUGAACAAGUCUUUUCAUCUCUCUGGGAAUCUAUUUCCUCAUCUGUAAAAUUACUGAAUGCAGAGAGCCCCCAGGGUCCUUUCCAGCUUAUAUUCUAUGAGUCCAUCAAUCUCUAUGUGAUUGUGGAAGUAAAUUCCUUGAAAGAGCCACAAGUAUAGCUGCUUUGUACCAUAAUCAGCAAAGUCCUGUCUGCAUAUAAACUCAAGAAAAGCGAUUGAAGGCUGAUGAAGAUAUCAUUUUUAGUUUGUGUUAUGAAGCUGGCUUGGAUAGGAAUUAGAACAUGGAAAGCAAUAAAGUUUUGAAUUGUACUGAAAACUUACUAUGUGCCAGACUGACACUCUCUUACGCAUUUUACAUCAUUAUCUUAUUUAAUGUCACCGUAAAACCUACUGCAUAAAUAGGUAA
This 2345-nucleotide long non-coding RNA is filed under the name Homo sapiens (human). Its description in RNAcentral is "non-protein coding lnc-MYNN-9:1". Lineage: Eukaryota; Metazoa; Chordata; Mammalia; Primates; Hominidae. The record is from RNAcentral.